Molecule: non-coding RNA, 6061 nt
Organism: Cherax quadricarinatus
Lineage: Eukaryota; Metazoa; Arthropoda; Malacostraca; Decapoda; Parastacidae
Source: RefSeq, a predicted model, not a curated record
ACUGCUACGCUGCACAAUGUUGCAACACUGCUACGCUGCACAAUGUUGCAACACUGCUACGCUGCACAAUGUUGCAACACUGCUACGCUGCACAAUGUUGCAACACUGCUACGCUGCACAAUGCUAUGCUGCCAUAUUAUUGAACCCUGCCAUGGCAUGCUGUAUGCUGCUGCUUCCCAGCAUUAUACUGUAGGAGUAUCACAGCUGACAAGUAGAAGACAAACAUGCCACGCCUAGCCUAGAUAUCUGAUGUAUUUACCUCCUCUUUUUUUUUUAGCAUUAUAAAUGUAUGUCUAGAAUAUUUCCUGCAUUUGAUAAAGCCUCUUGUAGGUGAAACGCCGCAAUAAUAUUUUUUUUUUAGCUAUACGUGGUCUUUAUCCACCAUAUUAUACUUUAAGAAACUUAGUGAUAUAUUAUACUGUAUCAGAACUCGCAGCAGUGGGUUUAAGUUGGAAAGAAUUAGAUUUAGAAAUGAUAUAGGGAAGCAUUGGUUUGGUAAUAGAGUUGUGGAUGAGUGGAACAAACUCCCGAGUAGCGUUAUUGAAGCUAAAACUUUGUGCAGUUUUAAAAAUAGGUUAGACUAAUACAUGAAUGAGUGUAGGUGGGUGUGAGUUAGACUUGCCUUGUAUGGACUACUAGGCCUACUGGCCUAUGCUUAUGUUCUCUUGUAUCAGGGUAGGUAAUGCUAUUUGCUGUUCUUUCCUUCAAAUUCCAUUUUUUUUUAUUUCCCUGUAAGUUUACUAUGUGGUUGACAUUGUAGACGUCUUUGUUAUACCGAGUUCGACAACUCUAUACUAUACAUUUUUUUUAUUAUACCGAGCUUCUUCAGCUCGGUGUGGUGUGCUUUUGCUUGCUAUACCGACCUUCUUGAGCUGUAUGCUGUGCUUUUGCUUGCUAUACCGACCUUCUUGAGCUGUAUGCUGUGCUUUUGCUUGCUAUACCGACCUUCUUGAGCUGUAUGCUGUGCUUUUCCUUGCUAUACCGACCUUCUUGAGCUGUAUGCUGUGCUUUUGCUUGCUAUACCGACCUUCUUGAGCUGUAUGCUGUGCUUUUGCUUGCUAUACCGACCUGCUUGAGCUGUAUGCUGUGCUUUUGCUUGCUAUACUGAGCUUUGCAAAUAUGUUAUGCUUUCUUUGGUACACCGAGCUAUGCUUGCUAUACCGAACUGUAUGUUGUGAUUGUGCUUGCUAUAUUGAACUGUGUAACUGUAUGUUGUGCUUUAGCUUGCUAUACCAGCCUUUACAACUAUCUGAUGUCCUUUCAUUUGCUAAAUUCAACUUUGCAGCGAUGAUGUGUCUUCCUCUGCUAUACCGAGCUCUGCAACUAUUUUGCUGUGCUUUUUACUAUAAUAAGCUCUACUAAAGCUAUGCUCCAUUUUACUUCAUUAUAACGAAUGGGAUGUUGUAAUGUAUUAUGCAUUUCUGUUAUAUGCAGUAUAAAUACAGAUCCAUUUUGGCCAAUGAGCUAAGUACCAGGGUCCCAGAUUCGGUACCGGCAUUCCGGCACCAUUUCCCUACUCUUCGAGCCCGGAUGAGACUGCCGAUACGGUCUACACUAAGAGAGGCCCUAUAAAGCAAAACAAGGAGAGAGAAGUCCAAAAUCUACUGAUAUAGAAGACGCCUUGAUAAUUAAUGACUUAGCGGUUCCAGUAGUAGUUGCCUUCCAAGUGCUGGCGAGUCUUUCCCAACCUCUCCAUGGCCAAGAUUAUACGGUCUGGUUCAUCCUGACAUUAUCAGCACCAGUCAAGUAUUUAGAAGAUCACGUAGCCAGUGUCAACAUUGUAAGAAUAAUUGGGACACUGCUAGGAUGAUGCCGAUAUAGAUAAGUUCAAAUGUGUACUGUCAAGAUAACAGGCGCUGGUAGAACCAUAUGGAGGACACUGUACAGUGCUCGUGAACACUCAAAACUGUGACCAUGUGGAAACUGUCAGUACCAAGUCGGUAUUGUCAGGGUAAUGUCGAUGCUGUGAAAACCAUAUGCACACUCGCACAACUAUAUGGACACUGAUAGGCCCAUGUGGAAAAUAACUAGAGAAGCUGACAUCUCUACAUGUCUUGCAAGUAGCAGCUGCCGAUCCUCCGGUCCUAGAAGAGUAUCUUAGCCGCGGGUGAAGAUUCUCUGUUCUCGCAAGGGGUAUAUUUACAACUGCUCGUCCUCAGAUUCUAUACAAGUAUCUUAGCAACGGCUGCAGAUAAUUCCUUUCUAUGAGAUACUACCUUUCACUAUCUAACAAAAAACUUCUAUUUGUGCAGUGUUCGUAGUGUGUAAAAUAUUCUAGAAGAAAGACACAUGUGCAGCAGUUGGGUAUCUUUAUUGUUGAAGUGUUUCGCGUACAUGGUAGGCUUCUUCAGUUAUAUAGAAUGGAUUGUAGGCAGCAGAAGUGACGAGGUAAAGAUGAUGUAAUCAGUCUUUCAGCCUUAGUGAAAUACCAUUCUGAUGUUCAUCUUAGUGAAAUAGUUUGAGGUAGCCAGUCCCUCAGCCUGCAGAAAAACUCAGCUCUAUGGUCUAGAACGGUAUGAAGCUGAAGCAUGAGAAUGGAGUCUUAAAUAUUGUCGAAGGUGAGGUGGAAGUUCACGAAGACGUUGCAGGAGGCAGGUCCCUCUGGAAUCCAACCCUUCUCACUCAUGAUGAAGUGAUGAAGCUGUGGAAGAUGUCCUCUGUACCAAGAUACUUUUCUGUUGCUGUUGUGUCUGACAGGUAUACUGAAAAUGGUAUAAAAUACCAUUUCCAAGGUUGGUGAACUGAUUAUCUAUACCUCGUCACUUCUGUCUACCAUGUAAGCGAAACGUUUCAACAAUGAAGAUACCAUCUGUUGCACAUGUCUUUUACUUAUCAAUUUACGGAUAUUUAUACCGUUUUUCAACAAACUACGAAAAGAAAGCCAACUACCUAUCCAUCUCACCACUUUCCGGAACGUAGCAUUGUGCAGCGUACGAGACUAUCACAAACACACUCCUCUGCUGCUGGACGUGACGUUCAUGACUUCCAGUGGAUGCUAUGAUCAUGAUAACUGAGACACUUGGGCAACAUUUAAGAAUCUUUAUUCUGGAAACGUUUCGCUACCCAGUGGCUUCUUCAGUCCAGUACAGAGAAGAGUGGAAGAUGAGAAGUUUGAGAUAAUGAGUCCCUCAGCCUUGAGUCGAUGUGUUCAGUCCAUUAAUCUUGAAUAGUAGUAUAAGUAAUGUAGUAGUGGUAGUAGUAGUAGUGGUGGUGGUGGUAGUAGUGGUAAUAGUAAUGUAGUAGUGGUAGUAGUAGUAGUGGUGGUGGUAAUAGCAGUAGUAGUGGUAAUAGUAAUGUAGCAGUAGUAAUGUAGUAGUGAUAAUGGUAAUAGUAUUGUAUAACUAGUAAUAAUGUAGCAUUAAUGUCAUACUAAUAGUAUAGUAUUAAUGUAGUAGUGGUAAUUGUAGUAUUAAUAGUAUAGCAGUAGUAUUAACAGUAGCAGUAAUAGGUAGUAACAUUAACAGUGGUAAUAGUAGUGGUGAUAAAUUUUGGUAAACUGUUCGUUACGGUACUGUCACUUUGCAUUCUUUAUCUCAGUGUUUCAAGUUAGGAAGUACAUCUUUCAUCAUACAGUAAUAAUGAGCACUGAACACUUUUUGCACACUUAUGAUCUCAGAAGCUCAAUUAUUUUUCUCCAGAAUCUUGCGCGUACAAGAGGCUUCUCAAACAGCAUUACCUAAUGCAAGCCAUGUAUAAGCCUCGUGUAAUCUGUAAGUUUUAUUUCUUGUAUUAUGUAUCGUGUAAUGUGUGGUAAUAAACUGUCAGCAUAAACUGAUAUUAUCAGUUUAAUCCCCCCACGAGGGACGUUCCUUGAUGAUGGUCAGGGGCUCUUGAUUUAAGGAAUUAAACCUGUCCUUCAGUGCCUUUAAUCGAGUCUGUGUCUUCCAUUCCCCCAGGCGCUGUAUAACUCCUAUAGAUUUAGCGCUCCCUCUAUGAAUAGAAUAAUAAAUUGCAUCUCGCGAAGCUGUCUUCAUUGUUUCAUUAUCUCAUUAUGUUCUCAUUAUAUUUUUAUUAUGUUCUCAUUAACCUAAGUCAGCCGAUAUGAAGUGACUCAAAGUUGUCAGAAUUAUAUUGAUCGGGAAGCGCUAAAUUUACAUGGGGUCAUAUAAAGCCUGGGAAAAAAUAGGUAAUUAAGUUUGAUUGAGGAAUGGGAGGGGUAGCUACAAUUCACUGGAUCAAGAUACCUUCACCAGCAUCAUACACUCCCCCCGCCCCCUUGAAGGGAGAGUAAUUAGAGAGGUAAGCAGCUCUGAAAACCAAAUUUGAUGCAUUAUUUAACAAGAGCUGACUCAUAACAUACCUUAAAUCCCUCCAAGAAAGAUGAAUAAGUGUCGCUGAAGAGCCCUUGAUUCAAAGAGCUGGAGCGAAUCUUCCCUUCCUUGGAUUAAACCUGUUUGCCUCUCAUUUCCUAAGCACCCUAUGAUCCAUACGGGUUUACCAGUUUCCCAUGAAAACAGCUAUAAUUAGCACCUUUAGCCAAUACCUUCUACCAACGAUACUACAAACAAAAACAACCUUAUUUCUUUCUACAGUAUACAAAAUGUAGUUUAGAUGUAAUAAAAUACUGUAAUACAAUAUUAUUAAGGACGCUUUCUUUGCUAGGUUUAAAGCUUAUCGACUACACGAGGUUCUUCAAGAUACACGCAGUUUACUUACGAGGUUCUUCUUCCUGCUUCCGAUGACUGCAAGUGUCGUAGUGUGUUAUCUGCUGUGUUGGUGUAGUUUAGUUUGUUUUGCACGUCGUGCCUCUUUAGACAAAAGAUCAACAGAGGCGCAUAAUGUGUGUUCUGGGAGUGGGUCUCAGUUUUAUGGCGGCUCAGCAAGUUACAGUGGUGAUAAACUAUUGACAAGUUUAUGAUCUGGCUGUAAUUUUAAUGAAUUAUUUAUGCAGACAUGCCGGCAUUGUUUUCGUUUUCCUUCCUUAUUUAUAUAGUAUUAGUUACAGUCAAGAAUCUUAAUAUUACAAGACUAUGUUUUGCAAUAUCAGCGGGUUAUUAAAUGUUAUUAUUUAACGUAAACAUAUGCUGGGUACAGCGAUGAACGUCGAUAUUAACGAGGAAGCAAGUGCAGAAUAAUUUUUUUAUUGUGACGACGUUUCGCUCGUGCAGAGCGUUAUCAAUCAUGAUUUACAAAGUUCUACAAAGAGCGAAACAUUGUCCCAAUAAAAGUCUUCUCUGCACCUGUCUUUUCAUCGCUGCACAAAUACUAUUUACUGAUGAUAACAUUUUUUUUUUCAAACAUUAACUCAACUGUUUCAAACAACGACAUAAUUAAUGAACUCAAUUUCAGUAAUCUACCAGACUCCUACUUAAUACCAAACUAGCCUAAUACAUUCUAUUAAGAAAACAAUAAUAACCAAAUAAACCUUUACAUCCGAAAAGGCUAGAAAACAAAUUUGAUGCUCAUGUUAAGUCCUCAAUACACCUGUGCACUAAUAUCAAGAAUACCUAUGUGCGGGUUAUUUGUGUGUCUUUCCAGUCACGGUAUUGUGCCUUUUUUUUAUCAAGAAUACUUGAAUCCCUAAGAUAGAUCAAACUUUCACCGUAUAUAUCCUGAGAUACUUUUGUUAUAUAGGCCUUUAGAGAUAGACCUUUCGUUGUGUAUGCCUUGUGAUAUAUACUUUAUUAUCAGUAAUAUGAUGCUUAUCUAACGCAGCAACAGUAUGAUGUCAUGGUAUAGCGGAUAUCUUCAACUCUAUUCCUAAACAAUUUAUUGGCAUGAACUACUUCCACUAGCGGGCUCCACCCACCUAUAACGCCAUCUCCAACUGCUGCAUUCUAUUUGGGCUCCAGCAGCGCUGUAUAGUCCUUGUGGCUUAGCGCUUCUUUUUGAUUAUAAUAAUAAAUAAUAAUAUUUGGGCUCCAGUAAAUGUCUCCAUCCUCAUGCCUCUGCUUUAGGCUGAGGGACUGAGCACCUAAUGUCAAGGCUAAGGGACUGGAACAUUGUCUAUUAAGGCUAAAGGACUGAACACUUUAAAAUUAAAUUUCCACUCCUUCCACUGUCAUCAGUGUAAAAGUUACCUCUGUAUUCGUCUGAAGAAGGCUGCUACGCAGGAGAAACG